UACGGAGGGUGCAAGCAUUAAUCGGAUUCAUUGGGCGUAAAGGGCGCGUAGGCGGGAAGGAAAGUUAUGUGUGAAAGCCUGAGGCUUAACCUCAGAACCGCACCUAAAACUUCUUUUCUAGAGGAUGAGCGGAGAAAAUGGAAUUCCACAUGUAGCGGUGAAAUGCGUAGAUAUGUGGAGGAACACCGGUGGCGAAGGCGAUUUUCUAGCUUAGACCUGACGCUGAGGCGCGAAAGCAAGGGGAGCAAACAGG
This 253-nucleotide ribosomal RNA is filed under the name uncultured bacterium. RNAcentral describes it as "partial 16S ribosomal RNA". It matches the Rfam family "Bacterial small subunit ribosomal RNA", at positions 524 to 776 of the family's 1533-position model. The record is from RNAcentral.